UCAGUUGAAGAUUGUUCACGAAGCUUCCAAAAUCAGUUACCGGUUCCUUCCCUUUUUCCCAUUUUUUCCCGAUUCUUCCCUUCUUUCCCUGUUCCUAUUCUUUUAAGUUUUUGGACUUACCCUAUAAAAAGGGGUAUUUUGUAAUGAGAAAAGUUCAAGUGGUGGGUGACAGACACCGCUCUCGACUUUGCUCUCUACCUUGCUUUAGACUUUCAGUUUUCAAUUCUUGC
RNAcentral lists this long non-coding RNA (230 nucleotides) under Vigna radiata. RNAcentral describes it as "long non-coding RNA (VRAD_LNC012295)". The record is from RNAcentral. Lineage: Eukaryota; Viridiplantae; Streptophyta; Magnoliopsida; Fabales; Fabaceae.